This 442-nucleotide long non-coding RNA is filed under the name Mus spicilegus (steppe mouse). RNAcentral describes it as "lncRNA (ENSMSIG00000023069.1)". Lineage: Eukaryota; Metazoa; Chordata; Mammalia; Rodentia; Muridae. The record is from RNAcentral.
GAGUUGUCUAGCAGCAAACAGUAACAGCAGCAAGGCUGCAAACACAGCAGCUUAGAGAAGAGCAGAAUGUCCUGGUUUCCAUCAUGGCUGAAGCACACAAGGGCACAGAACAUACUCCUUUACCUUUAGACAGAGGUGCUCUGGAGAACACCCUCAGCCUGCUGCAUGCUCUUUAUCAGAUGGGUUCCAUGUGAAGAGGGCAUAAGAACAUGCCUCAGGCCAGCUAUAGGAGCCAAGAAGCAGAGGCCACUGUGGUCAGAGGGAGCCAUCAUUAGCCCAAGUGGAGAGAACCAUACUGACAGCCCCGGAAUAAUACAAAGAACCAGAAGAGAGAGAUUCAAAGUAAACUUUAUAAAAGUUACUUCAGGAUGCAGCCAUAGAAUCUACUGAACACCUUCCAGAGUUGCCUGAGUAAUAUCAGUUGUUCCAGUUAGAAAACUUC